RNAcentral lists this ribosomal RNA (304 nucleotides) under uncultured bacterium. RNAcentral describes it as "partial 16S ribosomal RNA". It matches the Rfam family "Bacterial small subunit ribosomal RNA", at positions 506 to 807 of the family's 1533-position model. The record is from RNAcentral.
CAGCAGCAGCCGCGGUAAUGCGUAGGGUGCGAGCGUUAAUCGGAAUUACUGGGCGUAAAGCGUGCGCAGGCGGUUGUGUAAGACAGGUGUGAAAUCCCCGGGCUUAACCUGGGAACUACGCUUGUGACUGCACAGCUAGAGUAUGGCAGAGGGGGGUGGAAUUCCACGUGUAGCAGUGAAAUGCGUAGAGAUGUGGAGGAACACCGAUGGCGAAGGCAGCUCCCUGGGCCAAUACUGACGCUCAUGCACGAAAGCGUGGGGAGCAAACAGGAUUAGAUACCCCCGUAGUCCCUGUCUCUUAUAC